UACGAGGGGGGCGAGCGUUGUUCGGAAUUAUUGGGCGUAAAGGGUGCGUAGGCGGUUUGGUAAGUCUUAUGUGAAAUCUACAGGCUCAACUUGUAGUCUGCAUGAGAAACUGCCGGGCUUGAGUAUGGGAGAGGUGAGUGGAAUUCCUGGUGUAGCGGUGAAAUGCGUAGAUAUCAGGAGGAACACCUGUGGCGAAAGCGGCUCACUGGACCAUAACUGACGCUGAUGCACGAAAGCUAGGGGAGCAAACAGGAUUAGAUACC
RNAcentral lists this ribosomal RNA (263 nucleotides) under uncultured bacterium. Its description in RNAcentral is "partial 16S ribosomal RNA". It matches the Rfam family "Bacterial small subunit ribosomal RNA", at positions 524 to 786 of the family's 1533-position model. The record is from RNAcentral.